Molecule: long non-coding RNA, 546 nt
Organism: Eurytemora carolleeae
Lineage: Eukaryota; Metazoa; Arthropoda; Copepoda; Calanoida; Temoridae
Exons: 6
Source: RefSeq, a predicted model, not a curated record
UCUAUGUUCCUGAAUGAUGAUGAAAUGUAAGGCUUGUGUUUCUAGUGUGCCGACCCUCUGAUAGAUAGAUAGAUAGGUGUAUAUAAGGAUAGAUAAAUAGAUAGAUAUCUGAUGAAAUACUGACUAGAAUUUCUUGUUUUUAUGUAUUAGCAUGCAAACUGCAUGUUCAGCACCAAAAAAAGCCUUUACACGUGAGUCACGUGACAGGAACAUUCUGAAACCAUGGACUGGAAUCAGAUGGCUGAAUAUUAUUAUAAGUCCGGGAUCCUUUGUAUGUUGAGAACCCGGAUACAUGGAGGUGUGUGAUUGAUUACAGAGUUGGGUUUAUUGCAGAGGAAAAGGGGAAGGAGCCGUGUUCCAUGUAAACAUUCUCUUAAAUGUUACUGGAAACAAUAACAUAGAGUAUCUAGCAGCCUGGAAUAGGGAGUUGUUUUUUCUUUACUCUACAGCUGAAUUUAGAUCUUUGAAAACUGUUUUCAGCUAACAGACCAAGCCCGAACCUCGUCUAUUAUUCACCGUAUGGGAGGAGAAGAGUUCUUUCUUCAG